AUUGAACGCUGGCGGCAAGCCUAACACAUGCAAGUCGAGCGGAUGAAGGGAGCUUGCUCCUGGAUUCAGCGGCGGACGGGUGAGUAAUGCCUAGGAAUCUGCCUGGUAGUGGGGGAUAACGUCCGGAAACGGGCGCUAAUACCGCAUACGUCCUGAGGGAGAAAGUGGGGGAUCUUCGGACCUCACGCUAUCAGAUGAGCCUAGGUCGGAUUAGCUAGUUGGUGGGGUAAAGGCCUACCAAGGCGACGAUCCGUAACUGGUCUGAGAGGAUGAUCAGUCACACUGGAACUGAGACACGGUCCAGACUCCUACGGGAGGCAGCAGUGGGGAAUAUUGGACAAUGGGCGAAAGCCUGAUCCAGCCAUGCCGCGUGUGUGAAGAAGGUCUUCGGAUUGUAAAGCACUUUAAGUUGGGAGGAAGGGCAGUAAGUUAAUACCUUGCUGUUUUGACGUUACCAACAGAAUAAGCACCGGCUAACUUCGU
RNAcentral lists this ribosomal RNA (483 nucleotides) under uncultured bacterium. RNAcentral describes it as "partial 16S ribosomal RNA". It matches the Rfam family "Bacterial small subunit ribosomal RNA", at positions 30 to 506 of the family's 1533-position model. The record is from RNAcentral.